GCGGGGGUUGCCUAGCCUGGUCAAAGGCGCGAGGCUUAGAACCUCGUCCCGUAGGGGUUCGUGGGUUCAAAUCCCACCCCCCGCACC
This 87-nucleotide transfer RNA is filed under the name archaeon HR04. Its description in RNAcentral is "tRNA-Leu". It matches the Rfam family "tRNA". Rfam says of the family: Transfer RNA (tRNA) molecules are approximately 80 nucleotides in length. Their secondary structure includes four short double-helical elements and three loops (D, anti-codon, and T loops). Further hydrogen bonds mediate the characteristic L-shaped molecular structure. tRNAs have two regions of fundamental functional importance: the anti-codon, which is responsible for specific mRNA codon recognition, and the 3' end, to which the tRNAs corresponding amino acid is attached (by aminoacyl-tRNA synthetases). tRNAs cope with the degeneracy of the genetic code in two manners: having more than one tRNA (with a specific anti-codon) for a particular amino acid; and 'wobble' base-pairing, i.e. permitting non-standard base-pairing at the 3rd anti-codon position. RNAcentral also lists the same sequence under 1 other name. The record is from RNAcentral.